GGCGAACGCUGGCGGCGUGCCUAACACAUGCAAGUUGAGCGACGAACCAGGGCUUGCCCUGGGGCAAAGCAGCGAACGGGUGAGUAACACGUGGGUAACCUACCCCGAUAACCGGGACAACCCGAGGAAACUCGGGCUAAUACCGGAUGUGCUCACUGGACUUCGGUUCAGUGCGUAAAGGAAGCUUCGGCCUCCGUAUCGGGAGGGGCCCGCGGCCCAUUAGUUUGUUGGUGAGGUAACGGCUCACCAAGACCGCGAUGGGUAGCUGGUCUGAGAGGACGAUCAGCCACACUGGGACUGAGACACGGCCCAGACUCCUACGGGAGGCAGCAGUGGGGAAUCUUGCGCAAUGCGCGAAAGCGUGACGCAGCAACGCCGCGUGGGGGAAGAAGGCCUUCGGGUUGUAAACCCCUUUCAGGAGGGACGAAGGUUCGGCGGUGAAUAGCCGUCCGGACUGACGGUACCUCCACAAGAAGCCCCGGCUAACUACGUG
RNAcentral lists this ribosomal RNA (493 nucleotides) under uncultured bacterium. RNAcentral describes it as "partial 16S ribosomal RNA". It matches the Rfam family "Bacterial small subunit ribosomal RNA", at positions 28 to 507 of the family's 1533-position model. The record is from RNAcentral.